RNAcentral lists this ribosomal RNA (372 nucleotides) under uncultured organism. RNAcentral's name for it is "partial 16S ribosomal RNA". It matches the Rfam family "Bacterial small subunit ribosomal RNA", at positions 527 to 896 of the family's 1533-position model. The record is from RNAcentral.
GUAGGUGGCAAGCGUUGUCCGGAAUUAUUGGGCGUAAAGCGCGCGCAGGCGGUUCUUUAGGUCUGAUGUGAAAGCCCACGGCUCAACCGUGGAGGGUCAUUGGAAACUGGAGAACUUGAGUACAGAAGAGGAAAGCGGAAUUCCACGUGUAGCGGUGAAAUGCGUAGAGAUGUGGAGGAACACCAGUGGCGAAGGCGGCUUUCUGGUCUGUAACUGACGCUGAGGCGCGAAAGCGUGGGGAGCAAACAGGAUUAGAUACCCUGGUAGUCCACGCCGUAAACGAUGAGUGCUAAGUGUUAGGGGGUUUCCGCCCCCCUUAGUGCUGCAGCUAACGCAUUAAGCACUCCGCCUGGGAGUACGGCCGCAAGGCUG